GUCUGACCUGCCCACUGAUAUUAAUUAAAUGGCCGCAGUAUCCUAACUGUGCAAAGGUAGCAUAAUCAUUAGUCUUUUAAUUGAAGGCUUGUAUGAAUGGUUGGACGAGAUACCAACUGUUUCAUUUAAAUUUUUUAUAGAACUUUAUUUUUUAGUCAAAAAGCUAAAAUUUAAUUAAAAGACGAGAAGACCCUAUAAAUCUUGAUAUUUAUAUUAUUUUAGUUAUAAAGAUUGAUUUAAUUAUAAUUUUUAUAAAUAUUUUAUUGGGGUGAUAUUAAAAUUUAAUAAACUUUUAAUUUUGAAUUACAUUAAUUUAUGAAUAAUUGAUCCAUUAAUAAUGAUUAAAAAUUUAAGUUACUUUAGGGAUAACAGCGUAAUUUUUUUGGAGAGUUCAUAUUGAUAAAAAAGAUUGCGACCUCGAUGUUGGAUUAAGAGAUAUUUUUGGGUGCAGCAGCUCAAAGGUU
This 464-nucleotide ribosomal RNA is filed under the name Protoclythia modesta. RNAcentral describes it as "partial 16S ribosomal RNA". It matches the Rfam family "Bacterial large subunit ribosomal RNA", at positions 1852 to 2572 of the family's 2925-position model. The record is from RNAcentral. Lineage: Eukaryota; Metazoa; Arthropoda; Insecta; Diptera; Platypezidae.